CAAAACUCCAAUGAGAAUACGGCCAACUAUUUUAUAUGUACAAUAAGAGCCUAUAUAUCAGUCUGCAGUUCUACGUUUCUGCGAUAUGAAUAUGUCAGUUUCUGUGAUGUGAAGAUGAUGGUCCAAUUAUCUAUCUGCCCCUGUCAUAUUCUGCUGUGUGAAUAUGAGAGUAUCAUUACCAGUCUCUACCUGUCAGCUUUUGCAACGGAGAUCAUCUCAUCCAAAGUCCAUCAAGAGUCACAGAAUUGAUACAGCUAGUCAGCCCAUUGUGUCUGCACUGGGCUGUUGUUCAUCUGUUCUCCAUACUAAUUUCAACUCACUGUUGGGCGUCUGAACAUCAUCCACUCACUGCCAGUAUCUCAAGGAGUCUUUAUCAGUUGCUGCUGGACACUGUAAAAUGUAACACCUACCACUAACUGAAGCGAUUACUGGUUUGUUCUGCAUGUCAUGAUCUGAUACACUGAGUUUUAUGAAGAGAUAGUCAAGAUGAAUGCAGGGUUCUUCAUAGGUUUCUUGAAACAAAUUUUGAAAGACACACGAGUAAGAAGAAAAACUUUCUUCCUGGAAUGAAAAAAACUCCGACAAAAUGAUGAAAUGGAGAAUGGCGUUAUGAUACAGAUGGGGAUGACAACUUCUCUGAUGCCAUGAAAA
This is a non-coding RNA of Chiloscyllium plagiosum (whitespotted bambooshark), 651 nucleotides long. NCBI's taxonomy places the organism in Eukaryota, Metazoa, Chordata, Chondrichthyes, Orectolobiformes, Hemiscylliidae. The record is from RefSeq and is a predicted model, not a curated record.